AUUGAACGCUGGCGGCAGGCUUAACACAUGCAAGUCGAGCGGAGAUGAGGUGCUUGCACCUUAUCUUAGCGGCGGACGGGUGAGUAAUGCUUAGGAAUCUGCCUAUUAGUGGGGGACAACAUUCUGAAAGGAAUGCUAAUACCGCAUACGUCCUACGGGAGAAAGCAGGGGAUCUUCGGACCUCGCGCUAAUAGAUGAGCCUAAGUCGGAUUAGCUAGUUGGUGGGGUAAAGGCCUACCAAGGCGACGAUCUGUAGCGGGUCUGAGAGGAUGAUCCGCCACACUGGGACUGAGACACGGCCCAGACUCCUACGGGGGCAGCAGUGGGGAAUAUUGGACAAUGGGGGGAACCCUGAUCCAGCCAUGCCGCGUGUGUGAAGAAGGCCUUAUGGUUGUAAAGCACUUUAAGCGAGGAGGAGGCUACUGAGACUAAUACUCUUGGAUAGUGGACGUUACUCGCAGAAUAAGCACCGGCUAACUCUGUGCCAGCCGCCGCCGUAA
This 500-nucleotide ribosomal RNA is filed under the name uncultured bacterium. RNAcentral's name for it is "partial 16S ribosomal RNA". It matches the Rfam family "Bacterial small subunit ribosomal RNA", at positions 30 to 523 of the family's 1533-position model. The record is from RNAcentral.